GAAAACCUUAUCUUGACACUCUUUUCCACCCCUUUUAAAAGGGAAGACUGUUAAGUCACUCACUGUUUUUCUUAUCUGUUGAUGAAGGGCUUGCACUGCCUGCUGUUACGAAGGGUACAUUUUAUAGUAGGGCACUGGAACUCCUUUUCAUCGUCUGGAAUCUGCAGACCUGCCUUACUCAUUUGUUCACGGCAUUCUCUCAGCUAGUGAAAGAAGCUGUCAUCACUGAAGAGAGUGUUGUUCAUAAUCAAGUAAUCCACUGGUGCAUAUUGGACCCAAUCAGGAAUCUAAGAAUGAACAUGGUUGAGGAGGGUUCUUCUGUAUCUCUAAAUAUCUGUGUUGACUUGAUUUACCAAAGAGCUGCUCCUGCUGCCUACCUUCCACACAGGACAUUGGGAAGCUCUUCCAGGAC
This is a long non-coding RNA of Gallus gallus (chicken), 412 nucleotides long. Lineage: Eukaryota; Metazoa; Chordata; Aves; Galliformes; Phasianidae. The record is from Ensembl.